UACGUAGGGGGCAAGCGUUGUCCGGAUUUAUUGGGCGUAAAGAGCGUGUAGGCGGUUUGGUAGGUCCGUUGUGAAAACUCGAGGCUCAACCUCGAGACGCCGAUGGAAACCAUCAGACUAGAGUCCGGAAGAGGAGAGUGGAAUUCCCGGUGUAGCGGUGAAAUGCGCAGAUAUCAGGAGGAACACCGGUGGCGAAGGCGGGACUCUGGGCCGAUACUGACGCUGAGGAGCGAAAGCGUGGGGAGCGAACAGG
This 253-nucleotide ribosomal RNA is filed under the name uncultured bacterium. RNAcentral's name for it is "partial 16S ribosomal RNA". It matches the Rfam family "Bacterial small subunit ribosomal RNA", at positions 524 to 776 of the family's 1533-position model. The record is from RNAcentral.